Molecule: transfer RNA, 25 nt
Filed under: Salmo trutta (river trout)
Lineage: Eukaryota; Metazoa; Chordata; Actinopteri; Salmoniformes; Salmonidae
Description: partial tRNA-Phe
Source: RNAcentral
GUUGGCGUAGCUAACUAAAGUCAUC